GACGAACGCUGGCGGCGUGCUUAACACAUGCAAGUCGAACGGAAAGGCCCUGCUCUUGUGGGGUGCUCGAGUGGCGAACGGGUGAGUAACACGUGAGUAACCUGCCCUUGACUUUGGGAUAACUUCAGGAAACUGGGGCUAAUACCGGAUAGGAUCUCCUGCUGCAUGGUGGGGGUUGGAAAGUUUCGGCGGUUGGGGAUGGACUCGCGGCUUAUCAGCUUGUUGGUGGGGUAGUGGCUUACCAAGGCUUUGACGGGUAGCCGGCCUGAGAGGGUGACCGGCCACAUUGGGACUGCGAUACGGCCCAGACUCCUACGGGAGGCAGCAGUGGGAAAUAUUGCGCAAUGGGCGGACGCCUGAUGCAGCAGCGCCGCGUGCGUGAUGACGGCCUUCGGGUUGUAAACCGCUUUCGCCUGUGACGAAGCGUGAGUGACGGUAAUGGGUAAAGAAGCACCGGCUAACUACGUG
This 468-nucleotide ribosomal RNA is filed under the name uncultured bacterium. RNAcentral describes it as "partial 16S ribosomal RNA". It matches the Rfam family "Bacterial small subunit ribosomal RNA", at positions 28 to 507 of the family's 1533-position model. The record is from RNAcentral.